This 778-nucleotide ribosomal RNA is filed under the name uncultured Deinococcota bacterium. RNAcentral's name for it is "bacterial SSU rRNA". It matches the Rfam family "Bacterial small subunit ribosomal RNA", at positions 59 to 875 of the family's 1533-position model. Lineage: Bacteria; Thermotogati; Deinococcota. The record is from RNAcentral.
CAGUCGCACGGACUGUUUCGGCAGUUAGUGGCGGACGGGUGAGUAACACGUAGGUGACCUGCCCCAAAGUCGGGGACAACUAGGAGAAAUCUUAGCUAAUCCUCGAUGUGGACCCACCCCCUGGGGUGUGUCUAAAGCUUCGGCGCUUUGGGAUGGGCCUGCGCUGGAUCAGGUAGUUGGUAGGGUAAUGGCCUACCAAGCCGACGACCCAUAGCUGGUCUGAGAGGACGACCAGCCACAGGGGUACUGAGACACGGACCCCACUCCUACGGGAGGCAGCAGUUAGGAAUCUUCCGCAAUGGGCGAAAGCCUGACGGAGCGAUACCGCUUGAAGGACGGAGCCCCUCGGGGUGUAAACUUCUGAACUGGGGACGAUCAUGACGGUACCCAGGUAAUAGCACCGGCUAACUCCGUGCCAGCAGCCGCGGUAAUACGGAGGGUGCAAGCGUUACCCGGAUUUACUGGGUGUAAAGGGCGUGUAGGCGGUCUCUCAAGUCCGAUGCUAAAGACCAAGGCUCAACCUCGGGGGUGCGUUGGAUACUGUGAGGCUAGACGGUCGGAGAGGGUAGCGGAAUUUCCGGAGUAGCGGUGAAAUGCGCAGAUACCGGAAGGAACGCCAAUAGCGAAAGCAGCUACCUGGACGAUUUGUGACGCUGAGGCGCGAAAGCGUGGGGAGCAAACCGGAUUAGAUACCCGGGUAGUCCACGCCCUAAACGUUGAGUGCUGGGUGUCCGACAUCUGUUGGGUGCCGUAGCUAACGCGUUAAGCACUCCACCUG